This 498-nucleotide ribosomal RNA is filed under the name uncultured bacterium. RNAcentral's name for it is "partial 16S ribosomal RNA". It matches the Rfam family "Bacterial small subunit ribosomal RNA", at positions 899 to 1397 of the family's 1533-position model. The record is from RNAcentral.
ACUCAAAGGAAUAGACGGGGGCCCGCACAAGCGGAGGAGCAUGUGGCUCAAUUCGAUGCAACGCGAAGAACCUUACCAGGGCUUGACAUGCAGCUGCACGUCCAUCGAAAGGUGGAUUCCUUCGAGGGUGCUGCACAGGUGCUGCAUGGCUGUCGUCAGUUCGUGCCGUGAGGUGUUGGGUUAAGUCCCGCAACGAACGCAACCCCUGUGUUUAGUUGCUACCAGGUAAUGCUGGGCACUCUAAACAGACUGCCUGUACCAAACAGGAGGAAGGUGGGGAUGACGUCAAGUCAGUAUGGCCCUUACGCCCUGGGCUGCACACGUGCUACAAUGGCCGGUACAGAGGGAAGCAAGACCGCGAGGUGGAGCAAAUCCUUAAAACCGGCCCCAGUUCGGAUUGAAGGCUGCAACUCGCCUUCAUGAAGUCGGAUUCGCUAGUAACGGCGUAUCAGCUACGACGCCGUGAAUACGUUCCCGGGCCUUGUACACACCGCCCGU